AGAGAUCCCACAGGGGGAAGUGAGAUGGGGAAGAGAGAUCCCACAGGAGGAAGGGAGAUGGGGAAGAAAGAUCCCACAGGAGGAAGGGAGAUGGGGAAGAGAGAUCCCACAGGAGGAAGGGGGAUGGGAGAGAGAGAUACCACCAGAGGAAGGGGGAUGGGGAUGAGAGAUCCCACAGGAUGAAAGUGGAUGGGGGAGAGAAAUCCCACAGAAGGAAGGGGAAUGGGGAAAAGAGAUCCCAUAGGAUGAUGGGGCAUGGGGAAGAGAGAUGAGACAGGAGGAAGUGGGUGGGGAAGUGAGAUCAUACAGGAGGUUGGGGGAUGAGUAGGAGAGAUCCCAUUGGAGGAAGGGGGAUGGGGAAGAGAGAUCACAUAGGAUGAUGGGGCAUGGGGAAGAGAGAUGAGACAGGAGGAAGUGGGUGGGCAAGUGAGAUCAAACAGGAGGUUGGGGGAUGAGUAGGAGAGAUCCCAUUGGAGGAAGGGGGAUGCUGAGGAGAGAUCCAACAGUUGGAAGGACGGGGGAGUGGGAACAGAGAGCCCAGAGGAUGAAAGGGGGAUGGGAAAGCGAGAUCUCACAGGAGGAUUGCUACCUGUGCCACGUGCUAGUGAGGCUAGAAAUAGGAAGAUAAUGCAGCUAAAUACGUGGCUGAGGGGAUGGUGCAUGAGGGACCGGUUCAUGUUUCUGGACAAUUGGGAUUUCUUCCAGGGGAGGUGGGACCAGUUCGAACUGGACAGUUUGCACCUGAACUGGAGGGGACUAACAUCCUUGUCGGUAGGUUAGCAAGUUCUGCUCCGGGGGUUUUAAACAAGGUUGCAGGGGGAGGGGAACCAGAGUAUUAGAGCAGAUAGUGAGGUGGUGGAGGAUAAGGGUCAUGCGAGGACUGCUUGUAUAGACAGAUAUCAAUGGUUUGUAUGUGAUAGAAAUGUUCUCAGGUGCAUCUAUUUCAAUGCAAGGAGUAUUGCAGGUAAGGCAGAUGAGUUUAGAUCGUGGAUUGGCACGAUGAUAUCGACAUUAUUGCUAUUAGUAAGACUUGGUUUGCAGGAGGGGCAGGACUGGCAGCUUCAUGUUCCGUGUUUCCAUUGUUUCAGAUGUUUCAGGGAUGAAAGGGGGCGGAGUGGCAUUACCAGUCAGGGGAAUAUCACAGCUGUGCGUAGACGGGACAGCCCGGAGGGUUCGUCUACAGAGGCCAUAUGGGUGGAGCUGAGGAACGGGAAAGGUGUGACCACACUAAUAGGGUUGUAUUAUAGACCGCCCAGUAGUCAGAGAGAAUUCGAGGAGCAAAUCUGUAGAGAGGUAGCACACCAAAUUAAGAAACAGAAAGUCGUAAUCGUAGGGGAUUUUAACUUCCCACAUAUUGACGGGGACUCCCAUUCUGAGAAAGGGUUAGAUGGCGUGGAGUUUGUCAAAUGUGUCAGAAAAGUUUUCUAAAUCAAUAUAUUGAGGUAUCAACGAGAGAGGGUGCAGUACCUGAUCUCCUAUUAAGUAACCAGACAGGUCAGGUGACAGAAGUAUGUGUCGGUGAACAUUUUGGGUCCAGUGACCAUAAUGUCAUUAGUUUCAAGAUAAUUAUGCAUAAGGAUAGGACUGGUCCGCCAGUUAAGGUUCUGAAUUGGAGAAGGGCCAAUUUUGUGGAAAUGAGAGAGGAUCUGGGAAGAGUGGAUUGGGAUAAGUUGUUUUCUGGCAAGGAUGUGUUCAGUAAAUGGAACGCCUUCAAGGGUGAAAUUUUGAGAGUGCAGAGUUUGCAUAUUCCUGCCAGGAUUAAAGGCAAAGUUAACAGGCAGAGGGAGCCUUGGUUUUCAAGGGAUAUUGGCGAUCUGCUUAAGUAGGUGUUUAGCAGCUAUAGGAAACAAGGAACAAAUGAGGUACUUGAAGAGUAUAGAAAAUGUAAGCAAAUACUAAAGAAGGAAAUCAGGAAGGCAAAAAGAAGACAUGAGGAUGCUUUGGCAGAUAAUGAGAAGGUAAACCCGAAGGGUUUCUACGAGUAAAUUAAGAGUAAAAGGAUAGUAAAGGACAAAAUUGGUCCCCUAGAAGAUCAGAGUGGUCGUCAGUGUGUGGAGCCUCACGAGAUGGGGGAGAUCUUAAACAGUUUUUUUGCGUCAGUGUUUACUCAGGAAACUGGCAUAUGGAAUUAAGGGAAACAAACAGUAGUGUCAUGGAACAUAUAGAGAUUAAAGAGGAGAAGCUGCUUGCUGCCUUACAGUGAAUAAAGGUAGAUAAAUCCCCCGGGCUUGACAUGAUAUUUUCUCGGACCUUGAGAGAGACUUGUGUAGAAAUUGCAGGGGCCCUGGCAGAAAUAUUUAAAAUGUCCUCAGCCAGGGGUGCGGUGCCGGAGGAUUGGAGGGUAGCUCAUGUUGUUCCGUUGUUUGAAAAAGGCUCCAAAAGUACACCAGGUAAUUACAGGCCAGUGAGCCUGACAUCAGUAGUAGGUAAAUUAUUGGAAGGUGUUCUGAGAGAUCAGAUAUACAAGGAUUUGGACAGCCAAGGGCUGAUAAAAGAUAGUCAGCAUGGCUUUGUGUGUGGUAGACCAUGUUUAAUGAAUCCUGUAGUGUUUUUCGAGGAGGUUACCAAGAAUGCAUAUGAAGGAAAGGCUGUGGAUGUUGUCUACAUUGACUUUUGUAAGGCCUUUGACAAGGUCCCACAUAAGAGGUUAGUUCUAAACAUCCAGUCACUAGGUAUCCAUGGAGAGGUUGUAAACUGGAUUUGAAUUGACUGUGUGGGAGAAGACAGAGAGUGGUAGUGGAUGAUUGCUUCUCAGACUGGAGGCCUGUGACUAUUGGUGUGUCUCAGGGAUCUGUGCUGGGACCAUCGUUGCUUGUUGUCCAUAUCAAUGAUCUAGAUGAUGAUGUGAUAAAUUGGAUCAGCAGGUUUGCGGAUGACACUAAGAUAGAGGCGUUGUGGACAGCGAGGAAGGCUUUCAAAGCUUGCGGAGGGAUCUGAACCAACUGGAAGAAUAGGCCAGAAAAUGGCAGAUGGAAUUUAAUGCAGACAAGUGUGAGGUGUUCCAUUUUGGAAGGACAAAUCAAGAAGAUGAAGAAAACUACUAGCGUGAAGACAACGCAAGUUGGAACAGAAUCAAGGCCCGCUGCUGCCAGAGAACCGGGGCUCAGGUACAUUUUACGUGCGGUGAUCCAGAACAGGAAACUGCGGCAACAUCGACCAUUUCCAAAGAAAAAGACCAACAAGAACUGCGCAAACGCGAGCAACCGGAACUACAAAUCCCAGUUACGAUUGAAACCGGAAGUGAAAGUGAAUCUGCGGCAUAUUCAGAUUCUCUGGAUAAAUCAGACGAAGAUGGAGGUAAAAGUUUUUCUGGAAAUAUAGAAAAAACUUUGAUGCAAAUAAUGUGUAAAUUAGAAAAAAAUUAAACGCAUUAAAAGAAAUCAAAAAAAGAUAAAUAUGGAGAUUAUGUUUGAUAAAGUGAUAAAAAGACAGGACAAAAUGGAAAAGAGAAUUAUAGUCUUGGAAGCCACAAUGGAAGACAUGGUUGAAAGAAUGAAUAAAAUGGAAGAUAAUAUAUCUGCCUGGACAUUAGAAAGAAAACAAUUGUUGGAAAAAGUGGAUAAGCUAGAAAAUUUUAGCAGACGAAACAAUAUUAAGAUUGUUGGACUUAAAGAAGAUAUAGAAGGAGAGGAUCCAAUAAUUUUUUUUUCAAAAAUGGAUCCCUGAAAACUUGGAAAUGGAAGAAGAAACUCUAAUUGAAAUUGAAAGGGCUCAUAGAGCCUUAAGGUCAAGACCUUAAACUGAUCAAAAUCCAUGAUCGAUUUUGAUAAAAUGCUUAAGAUACUAAGAUAAAGAAAAGAUCCUGAGGGCGGCUGCCCAAUGUGCCAGAAAGAGUAAAGGGACAUUGGUGAUAGAAGGGAAAGCAAUUCUUUUCUAUCCUGAUAUAAGUUAUGACCUUUUGAAGGGAAAGAAGGAAUUUAACCCUGUGAAAAAAGUUUUAUGCGAAAAGGGUUAUAAAUUCAUAAUGCGUCACCCAUCAACACUGAAAAUUUUUUUGGAGGAUGGAAAAAUAUUUUUUACCGAUUAUUGAGAAGCGGAGGAAUUCGCACGAAAACUCCUAGUUAUUCGCUAACUACACAUAGAGAUUUCCAAGCGUAAUGGAUUAAAGAUGAAGACAGAGACAGUGAAUGGAAUUGAUGGACAUUUAAGGAUGAUACAGGGGGCGAAAGCCAAAAUUUGAGAAAUAUUAAUUGCGAGUAGUAUUUUUUUCUUUUUCUUUCUUCUCAUAUAUAUACUUUUUUUGUCAUGGGGGAGCUGGAGGAGCUUUGGAUCGAUUGCUACGGGAUUCACGUGUGUAAUCAUGGCGAUUGCCAUGACCCGUACAACAGAGGGGGGUAAUGUUGUGUUCUUUUUUAUCCACAACAUUAGUAGGGGGGUAUUUUGUUUUUUACUUUACAAUCUAUUUUUCUUCUAUUUCUUUUGGCCUGGAUGAUCAGUGGGGCGCACAUAGCAACAUGGAGAAUUUUUAAAAAGAUUCCCCAAGGUACCACGAAAGUUGAAAGAUUAGGUAUUGUUAUAGAUUGGAGUAACCCAAUUAAAAAUAAUGACUAAUUUACAAAAUUUUCAAAGUUUUAAUGUUAAUGGGCAUAAUGGACCGGUGAAAAGAAAAAGAAUCUUAACACACAUUAACAAAAUGAAAACAGAUAUACCUUUUUUACAAGAAACAAACUUAAUAGAGAAAGAACAUCAGAAAUUAAAAAGAGAUUGGGUUGGAAAUGUUAUUGCAGCUUCAUUUAACUCAUAGGGGAGAAGAGCUGCAAUUUUGGUUAAUAAAAAUUUACCAAUUAAAAUACAAAAUGUAUUAAUUGAUUCGGCGGGGAGAUAUUUAAUUAUACAUUGUCAAAUUUUUUCAAGAACUAUGGACUCUUAUGAAUAUUUAUGCACCACAUGAAAAUGAUGUAAAGUUUAUACGAGGUCUGUUUGAAUUUGGUUAACGCACAUGACAAAAUAUUAAUAGGUGGAGAUUUUAACUUUUGUCUAGGUCUAGUUUUAGAUAGAUCAACAAAGGUUGUCACAAAAUCAAAAGUAGCAAAAUUAACUUUAAUAUUGAUGAAAGAUUGAUAUAUGGAGAAGAAUUAACACAAAAGUAAGAGAUUAUUCAUUUCAUUCAAAUAGACAUAAAACAUUCAAGAAUAGAUUUUUUCCUAUUAACGAAUAUUCAAGACAGUGAAAAAUAUGGAAUAUAAAGGAAGAAUAUUGUCAGAUCAUUGAUAAUGACAAUGAUAAUGAUAGAUAAAGAGGAAUCAAUUUAUAGAUGGAGAUUUAAUUCAAUAUUAAUAAAACAUCAAGAUUUUUGUGAUUUUAUGAAAAAGCAUAUUGAGUUUUUUUUAGAUACAAAUUCACAUUCAGUUGAUUAUAAAUUUAUAUUGUGGGAAGCAAUGAAGGCAUAUUUGAGAGGUCAGAUAAUAAGAUACUAAUAAAAUUAAGAAGGAAUAUAUGAUAGAAAUUGAUCAAUUGGAAAAAGAGUUUACAAAAUUAGAAUAAGAAUCUCAAAGAUAUAUGACAGAAGAAAAACGAAGACAACUUGUUAAUAAGAAGUUACAAUAUAAUACACUUUAGAUAUAUCGAACAGAAAAAGCAAUUAUGAGAGCAAAACAGAGAUAUUAUGAACUAGGUGAAAGAUCACAUAAGGUUCUUGCUUGGCAGUUAAAAACAGACCAGACUUCUAAAACGAUAAAUGCAAUUCGAACAACAGUAAAUAAAAUUACUUAUAAACCUUUAGAAAUUAAUGAAACCUUUAAGAAUUUUUAUUCUGAACUGUAUAAAUCAGAACCACAAAAUGAUAAUGUCAAGAUAGGAAGGUUUUUAUCACAAAUAACUCUUACAAAAUUGAAUUCAGAAGAACAUAAGGGAUUAGAUAUGCCUUUUACAUUAGAAGAGGUUGAAGAAGCUCAAUGAUCAUUUCAAAGUAAUAAAGCCCCAGGAGAAGAUGGUUUUCCGCCUGAAUUUUAUAAAAAGUUUAAAGAUUUAUUAAUUCCUCCUUUUAUGGAGUUAAUACACCAAGUGGAAAGAAUGCUUAAACUUCCAGAAUCUUUUUCAACAGCUAUUUUAAUAGUAUUGCCAAAAAAGAUAAUCUUUUAAAGCCAACAUCAUAUAGACCUAUUUCUUUGUUAAACACUGACUAUAAAAUAAUAGCAAAAAUCUUACCUAACAGAUUAUCUAAAUACUUACCAAAAUUAAUACACAUGGAUCAAACAGGAUUUAUUAAAAAUAGACAAUCGGCAGAUAAUGAAACUCAGUUAUUUAGCAUAAUUCAUUUGGAACAAAAGGGGGAGGAAAUGAGUGUGGCAGUUGCUUAAGAUGCAGAAAAAGCAUUUGAUACAUUGGAAUGGGAUUUUUUAUUUAAGGUAUUGGAAAAAUAUGGAUUAGGAGUAUCCUUUAUAAAAUGGAUUAAAACAUUAAAUACUAAUCCCAAAGCUAAAGUAGUGACAAAUGGUCAAAUGUCAACACCAUUUCAGUUAACAAGGUCAACUAGGCAAGGUUGUCCAUUAUCACCUGCUUUAUUUGUGUUGGCGAUAGAACCAUUAGCUGAAUUAAUUAGAGUGGACCCAGAUAUUAAGCGUUUCUGAGUUAACCAGGAGGAAUACAAGAUUAACUUAUUUGCUGAUGAUGUUCUGUUUUAUUUAACAAACCCAUUGUACUCGUUGCGUAAAUUAUCCUCUAGAUUAGAAGAAUAUGGAAAAAUAUCAGGCUACAAAUUAAAUUGGGAUAAAAGUGAAAUUUUACCUCUCAGUAAAGGAGAUUAUAGUCAAUGUCGAUUAAUAACUCAAUUUAGAUGGCCGAUAAACAGGAUAAAAUAUUUAGGUAUAAGAGUUGAUAAUGAUAUAAAGAACAUAUAAAUUAAAUUAUUUACCAUUAUUGAAGAAAGUUCAAGAAGAUCUUGAUAAAUGGAUGAUAUUACCAAUAAAAUUAGUAGGUAGAGUAAAUACCAUAAAAAUGAAUAUAUUCCCUAGAUUACAAUACUUAUUUCAAUCACUACCAAUACAACUACCCUAGAAGUUUUUUCAAGAGUUAAAUAAAUAUGUGAGGAAGUUCGUUUGGAAAGGUAAGAUGUCAAGAUUAUCGUUGGAAAUUUGACAUGGAAAUUUGAUCUAGGAGGGUUACAACUUCCAAAUUUUAUUAUAAAGCAAAUCAACUUAGAUUUAUUGCAUCUUUUUUUGAGAAAGAUAGACUGGCAUGGAUUAGAAUAGAACUGGAUUAAAUGGGAGAAAAUACACCAUAAGAUUUUAUAUAUAAAUGGGAAUCUAAAUGGAUACGGGAAAAGAAAGAAUCUCCUAUGUUAAAACAUUUGAUUGAUUUCUGGAAUAAGAUAAAUGUUGAUGAUGAGAUAAAGAACUCUUUAUUAGCAAAGAGAUCUUUAAUUCAAAAUAGACUUAUUCCUUUUACAAUGGAUAAUCAAGUUUUAUGUAAUUGGUUUCAGAAAGGGAUUAGAUAUAUAGAAGAUUGUUUUGAAGGAGGUAUAUUAAUGUCAUUUGAUCAAUUAAAGAAUAAAUACAAAAUAUCAAACAACACUCUUUUUUGUUACUUCCAAUUAAGGGCUUAUUCAAGAGAAAAAUUGGGUCAAACAAAGUUAUUGCCGAAAUCUAAUGAAAUAGACACUUUAAUUCAAAAAGGAAAAACUAAAAAAAUUAUUUAUUGUAUGGAUAGUUUGAUUCAAAAACAGGCAAUUAAACAAGGAAUCCAUAAGUCAAGACAAAAAUGGGAAAUUGAAUUGAAUAUUAAAAUUGAAGAAACAAAUUGGUCAAGACUAUGUCUUGAUAUUUAGACAAAUACAAUAAAUGGCCGGUUAAGAUUGGUGCAAUAUAAUUUUUUACAUUAAUUAUAUAUUACACCACAAAAAAUAAAUAAAUUAAACCCAAAUUUAUCUGAACAGUGUUUCCGAUGUAACCAAGAAAUUGGUACUUUUUUACAUGCUACUUGGUCUUGUUCUAAAAUUCAACCUUUUUGAACAAAUUUCAGAGUUUUACUGGAACAAAUUAUUGGAAGACAACUUCCACAUAACCCAAUAUUAUUUUUAUUCGGCGAUAUUGAAGGGAUAAAACCGAAACCCAAAUUGAAUAAAUAUCAGAAAGAAUUCAUAAAAAUUGCACUGUCAGUAGCCAAAAAGUCUAUUGCAGUUACUUGGAAAUUGGAUUCAUACUUAAGUAUAGAUCGUUGGAAGAAUGAAAUUUCCAGCUGUUUUCCACUUGAAAAAAUUACUUAUAAUUUAAGAGAUAAAUAUGAAGCAUUUUUGAAAAUUUGGCGCCCUUAUUUACAAAAGACAGGAUUAACUAUAUAGGUGCUCCGAAGAUAAAAUAAUUGGUUAUUUGGGGAAAGAAAUAAAUAUAUGUACUAAAGUUACUAUGAACUCCGGGGAGCAUGUGGGGAUGUUCCGAUAUCCAGGCAUUCUUUCUUUCUUUUUUUUCUUUUUCUUUUCUUCUAUAGGGAUGUUAGGGGGGGGGGUUAAGGGGAGGGGGGGAAGGGUAGAUAUUUUUUUUCUUUCUGUAAUCAUUUGAAAACUCAAUAUUUUUUUAAAAAAACAAAACACAGUCCGAGAUAUAUAUAUAUAUGGGAGAAUGGGUUUGGGCCGGAGGGUAGGGGUCGCCUGGGGUGUAGGAGGUGGUAUAGUUCCAUCUGUUGAAGUCUGCUCUUUCGUGUCCCCAGGAAAAUACCUCCCUGUUUUGAAAGGACUCUGCUUAUUGCUGAGAAUAUAGUAACAAUCACCAUCACUCUCCUGGUACUGCCCAUCAACACCGCUUGGCUCUGGGUUACUGUCUGCCUGCCUGGUCAACCCCUUCCUCAGCAAAUCUCUGGGAUUUCUCACAAAAUUCUGCAGGUACUCAGCAGGUCAGGCAACAUCUAUGGAGGAGAAUAAACAAUCAACGUUUCAGGCCAAGGACCUUCAUCGGACUGGAAAUGAGGGGACAGAAAUUCGAGAUAUUGUCACAUUACUUUCUAUGCCUUGUGGUCCUGAUUUGAAAUGUUGACUGUUUAUUCCUCUCCAUGGAUGCUGCCUGACCUGCUGAAUUCUGCCAAUAUUUUGUGUGUCUUUUUGUUGGCCGAAACUUUCAGCAUUUGCAGAAUGUCUUGUCGUCUGGAGUAACUCGCUAUUUUAAUGUGCAUCAUAAUCUGUUAGAGGAGCAGGAGCAGACGGUAACUGUACUCCUUCCACGUGUGACUGUGUUUUCCCCAGAGAUGUUAACUCUCUCUCUCUCAUCUCUCUGGUCAGUUUUCACAAAUAUUUGGAGAAUUGCCAUUAUUGAAUUAAACCCAGACGGAGAAUCCGCAGAGUAUUUAUAAAUUAAAAUGAUUUUGUGGACAGGAGUUCUCAGUUUUUGCUGCUCUGUAACAAAAAAAAAUAACAGGAGGCUCAAACAUUAAUUGGGGUUUAAAACAGAACACUGUUUUGUUUUUAAACUGAGAUGAACACUUUCAAACAUCUUGGGCCGAUCCACUGAACACGUGUCAUGGCCGGAUCCACCAGAACCCGUCCACCCACAGUCACACAAUGUCCAUUUCCGCUCUCCAUGGAUUGUACACUGGGCCACGAUUCUCCAGGGUAUCUACUCUCUGCAUUGCAGGCAAUUCCCUUUUAGGAACCAAUCUUGUGUCUUGGACCGGGAGUGAUGAGUCUACGGAAUGGGAAGCCAGGUUGAGCAGACAGCGCCCACUGCUUUGGUCCUCCUACCGCUGGUGGCGCUGUGGUGAGUAAUGGACAAGUGUUCCAGCAGUGUGGGCUGAAACAUUUCUGCUGACGAUGAGACUUCUAUUCCUCUCGUCACUGGAUUAUACAGGUUUCUCAGUCACAACUGAUUCUCACCGUCUCCUUUCAGGUUAACAUCGCCUGGCAUUGACACCAAUGGCAAUAUAUGAUUUGUGUCUAUGCAGAAACACUCUGACAACCUGAACAAUGCAAUGUCACACAUAGCAUCGUGACAUCUUAUCCUGAACCACUAUAAUUUUUCCGGCAGGACUUUAAAACUAUUAAUAGCACCAAAACUUGGUUAAGAUUUCUUUGAGCAUAUCACCUGGCUAUUAUCAGAUAGUUAGUUAUAUGACACCUUGUUAAACACAAUGUUGACACGCCAUAUAUCCAAAACAGUCAGUUCGGAAAAAAUUGUCAAUAUAAUUAAAACAGAAUGAUGGAAUUAUUCAACAAGACGAGAGUAUGUUAAUAUUUCAUGUGGAGGACCCUGUAUCAGAGCUGAGCCUGUGUGCAGGAGCCAUGUAUCUGUUCUCUAUCAGCAUUGUAUUCUGCGUUGUGUAUUUAUGAUGCUUUUUUUAUGGUAACAAGUCGGAUCAGUGGGAGUGUGAUAAAUGCAAAGGGAAUCAGUUACAUAGUUUGCUUUUUCCAUGCAGUAUACAGCUGGGGACUGACCGAUGUCAUAUAUUUUGUUAUUAUUAACUCAAAUACGAUGAAUUUAUGUUUGGGUACAGAUCAGUUUCAUCACUUCAAGAUUGUAUGUUUACUGAUUGCUAAUAAAGGAUGGAAUACAUA
This is an RNA transcript of Hypanus sabinus (Atlantic stingray), 10477 nucleotides long. RefSeq lists it as uncharacterized. The record is from RefSeq and is a predicted model, not a curated record. NCBI's taxonomy places the organism in Eukaryota, Metazoa, Chordata, Chondrichthyes, Myliobatiformes, Dasyatidae. The transcript has 2 exons.